RNAcentral lists this ribosomal RNA (126 nucleotides) under Chelonoidis abingdonii (Abingdon island giant tortoise). The record is from RNAcentral. Lineage: Eukaryota; Metazoa; Chordata; Testudines; Testudinidae.
UUAGCCAUUCUGAUUGCACAGCCUCUGGGUUAUAAUCUCAUCUCAAAUUCAAACCAAGGCUAAGCAGAGUAGGGCUCAGUCAGUACUUAGAUAGGGGACUUGAGGUAAAACUCAGGUUUUGCUAGC